RNAcentral lists this ribosomal RNA (534 nucleotides) under Raffaelea tritirachium. RNAcentral describes it as "eukaryotic LSU rRNA". It matches the Rfam family "Eukaryotic large subunit ribosomal RNA", at positions 57 to 592 of the family's 3401-position model. The record is from RNAcentral. Lineage: Eukaryota; Fungi; Ascomycota; Sordariomycetes; Ophiostomatales; Ophiostomataceae.
AAAAGAAACCAACAGGGAUUGCCCCAGUAACGGCGAGUGAAGCGGCAACAGCUCAAAUUUGAAAUCUGGCUCCCCCCUGGGGGGUCCGAGUUGUAAUUUGGAGAGGAUGCUUUGGGCGCGGCGCCUUCCGAGUGCCUUGGAACAGGACGCCGGAGAGGGUGAGAGCCCCGUACGGUAGGACGCCUAGCCCGUGUAAAGCUCCUUCGACGAGUCGAGUAGUUUGGGAAUGCUGCUCAAAAUGGGAGGUAAAUUUCUUCUAAAGCUAAAUACUGGCCAGAGACCGAUAGCGCACAAGUAGAGUGAUCGAAAGAUGAAAAGCACUUUGAAAAGAGGGUUAAACAGCACGUGAAAUUGUUGAAAGGGAAGCGCCUGUGGCCAGACGUGCGCCCCGCGGACCACCCGCCGCUCUGCGGCGGGGCACUCCGCGGCGGCGCAGGCCAGCAUCGGCUCUCCGAGGGGGACAAAGGUCGCGGGAACGUAGCUCUUUCGGGAGUGUUAUAGCCCGCGGCGCCAUGCCCCUGGGGGGGCCGAGGA